This 70-nucleotide small nuclear RNA is filed under the name Marmota marmota marmota (Alpine marmot). The record is from RNAcentral. Lineage: Eukaryota; Metazoa; Chordata; Mammalia; Rodentia; Sciuridae.
GUUCUUGCUUCAGCAGCACAUAUACUAAAAUUGGAAUGAUACAGAGAAGAUUAGCAUGGCCCCUGUACAA